AUAUAAAACCAUCUCAGUUCUUCUGUACAUGAAAAUAGAUUAAGGAUUCUUAACAAUCAUGCCCAAAUGUUUUUCAAAGUUCAUCCAUUCAGGAUUUACAUGAGAAGAACAUAGGCUUUCAUGCCAUUCGGUAAUAAUACAAACAUUCUAGUUUCCACCCAGUGUUUGAACAAUGGUGUUGUGCCAUGGAUCAGAAAUGUGCUGCAACAAGUUAUCAAAUGGUCCUUUUCCUGUCACAUUGUGCUGAAUUAUAAAUCCCAAGAAUGCCAACAUUGCCAAUCUCCCUGCAAAGUAAAACACAGUUAAUGAUCUAUCGAUUAUGAUCGAUUGGUAAACCAGAAGACUUUAGAGACAUUAAAAAUAUUUACCAUUUGCAAUUUCCUUCUCUUUAGCCUCCAAAGUUGGUGCGAAGUUCAAAGGAUUAAAGAUCCCGCCAGGGUAACCAACCUCGCCUGCGGGCAAGCUGUAUUGCUUAAAGAUAGGAUCUUGGUUAACACUGCCAGGGUUUUUAAUGUCUUGCCAUCUUCUAAUCUCGACAUAAUGGAACAAAAUGAACUCGAUCACGAAGAGUGUUGAAGAUGAAGCAAAGUAUUCUUCUUUCCCUGCGUCAUACCAUUUCGGAACAUUGAUGAUUCCAAUGCUUGUGAAUACCUCAGGGAGUAACAUCCCUGCAACACCCAACAUUGCCCAUCGCCCGUUCACUAGCUCGGCUUGAACAAACCACCUCAAAUUCUCUGGAUCCUCCGCAAGUCCCAAUGGAUCAAAUCCGUUGUCUCCGGGAAGACUAAUAGCAUCACGAAACAAACAAGUUAACAAAUUAGUCUAACUAUAAAGAAUGUCUUCAUUUACACAAUCUAAGUCGUUGAUAUUCAACUCAGAUAAAGGGCUAAUCUUCUACAACAUGACAAUUUGAAAUCACAUUUCAAAAUUCCUAAAACAAAAAUUCUUAGAGGUGCCUAUACUAAGUGACAAUUCCUCAAACAAAUACUCUUUCAACACGAUCCAGUAACUCUAAAAAGAUCAAUUCUCUAUAAGACUUAAAAUGAGUAUUAUUAAGAGUCUCACAUUAAACAAUACGUGACCUCAACAUAUACUUAUAAGUGUUCGCAUUCUUCACCGAACGAGCCUAAUGAUUUAAGUCAUUACUGACUAGAUUUUCGCAUGGGACAAUAUAUGGGCUACACAUAUAUUUAUAAGUCAGGACAAUCUUCACCUCUCCUCUCCUGAGUUCUAUUAAAAUGAUAAAGACACCCCUUCUAAUUUUAAAAUAUACAGUAACCUCCUAUGAGGUCUAUUCAUAAAACAUUAUACCCUGUCUACUUUUUAAUGACAGUAUAGAUGACAUUUACUUACAGAUUUUAUCAAUCACUCAACAAAAGCCAUUGAUAUAUGUAAGUUCAAGAGAGGUUAUUGCAUAUUUUAAAACUAGAAAGAGUUUCACUCUCAAAAACCGUAGGUAUAGAUGACAUUUACUUACAGGUUUUAUGUUUUAUGUAUCAGAGCCAAAUUCAAGAUCCCUUAGGCCACUGUUGGGCACAAACACAAUUUUAUCAUGGUUUCAGAGUCAAGUUCAAGAUCCCUUGUGCCACUAUUGGAAACAUAUGAUUACUUACUAAUGUCUAUGUGAGUGUUUCAUUAUGCUACAAAAUAGAUAAGUUUACAUACCUGCCAGUUAGGUAACCUGGGGAGGCCAAACCUGGCAACCACUCUCCUUUCUUAGCUUCAACUUUAAAAGAAGCAGAAGGUGAACAUCCAACAGGCCUAAAAGCCACUCCUCUGUUCAACUUCCCGGAAGAACCACCAAGAAACCUUGAUUUCAAACCACAUGGCCCAAAAAUCGCGGCGGAAGCUUGUGUAGUAACGGUGGCCAUGAUAAACCACUAGUGAUCGUGGUGGUGACAAAGAAAAAAAAGAGUGAAAACGCAAGAUGAAAAUGUUUUUGUUGUUGGUUUUGUUUUGAGCAUGGGUUGUUGUUUCAUAUGUAUUUAGUUUCGGAACCAUUCAUGUGGUUGUGUUUCUCUGUUUAUGAUCUACCGUUGGUUUGCACGAUAUUUAGGAUCUAACGGUGGAUAUGCGUUGAGGCUUAUCCUUUUAUCUUAAUGUUAUAUCCACAAAUCUAUUUGUUCGUUGUUGUUGGCUGGGAAAAGAUUCUGUGGGGUCGUGAAACGUAACGAUGGAUGAUCGAUGGGAGAGAUUGGAAUAUCAUAGUCACCCAAUUAUUGCUAGACAUGUGGCUAGCUAAUGUUUUUUCCACUCUCAAAUAUCUAUGAUUUUCAAUUCUAUUUAAAAAAUUUAACUAUUUUAUAAUGGUUUCAAAAACCACACAAUCCUAUUCAAAGAAAAAGAAAAAUUAUAAGAAAUAUGAUUCAUAGUUCAAUUGUAAAUCAAUGGUAAAUAAGUAAAAGUAAUAGUUAAGAAAUUUUAUCGAGUUAAUUCCUCUUUAUAAAAUUGAUUUAUAGAGUGAGAAUUGCUUCGAUUUAUAAGAACGUGUUUAAGUUAAAUAUUGUCUGAUUUGACACUCUUAAUAUAUUUUCUUAUGUUUAUGAUUGAAUAUCUGAAGCGUAAAAAUAAAUUGUUGGUGGUUCGAUAACGGAAAUAUAAUAGCAGGUGGUCCACCGGAUGUUAAAAGAGACUUUUGAUAUAAUAUUAAGAAAUGUGGUUGGUCUAAUUAAGGUGAAGAUUGUUCACUUAUAAGGACAUGUUCAAAUCAUAUAUUAUUUCAUGUGAAACUCUUAACAAUAAUUAAAAUAUAUAUAUAAUUGAUUCAACCAACAACUUUUCAAUCUAGUUAAAUCAAAUUCGAGACAUAAAAAAGCAAAACAUUAAAAUAGCUAAUGUUAUUGAUUUUCUUUUAAUUCAAGUUACUAAUUUUGUAACUUAAGUUAAGGUAGCAAUUAAUUUAGUCAGUAAUUAUUGAGUUAAUGCAAUCACUAUUAAUUGAUUUUGCUUAUCUUCAAUUUAGAACCAAGUAAUUAUAUAUAUAUAUAUAUAUAUAAUUUUAUAAUUAAUCAAAUACGUAUUCACUCAAUUAUUCUCUUAGUUUUACUUUGUUUUGCAUUAACAAAUUGGUAUUCAAAAGCUCAAUUUGAUUUGUGAGAACAAUUGUGAUUGAAAUUAUGGUGGGAAACAAUGACUUUCUAACAAAUAUACUGAUUCUUAAUAAUAAUAAUUAAGACAGAUGGUACAAGUAAAUGAAGGUGAUAUUCAACGUUUAAGACGUGAGUGAAUAUAUUAAUAAAGGUGUUCGACCUUUGGUUGAAAAUCUAACAUAAGUUCGACGCACAACUUUCAAAGAAUUAAAGAUGAAAGAUCAAGAUGUUUUAUUAUAUAUCUACCAAUGUGUCGAUCAUAAGCAACGUCUUCAAAGGAAGCUUGGGAUAUAUUUGAGAAGUAUUAUGUUGGUGAUGCAAAAGUCAAGAAAGUGUGACUCAAUUCGUUAAAAAGACAAUAUGAAAUGUUUAAGAUUAAAGGAAAUGAACUAGUUGUAGACUAUUUCUCAAGAUUAUAUGCUUAGACAAAUCAAAUGAAUAGCUCAUGUGAAACCUUAUCAUUAAAGGUGGUGAUUGAGAAGGUUUUGUGCACUCUUAUUCUUCAAUAUUACAUGAUUGUAGUGACAAAUAGAAUUAGGGUUAAUGGACUUGACUAUCCGGUUAUGGAAAUCAAAUAGAAUGAUAUUAAAUCUUAAUUUCAAACCUACUCAAGCAAAUGUGUACAAAAGAGAAAGUAUUUGACAAAGUUUUGAAGUCCUUAGGGUCCCCAUAAUUUAGUAGUGAGUGAAACAAUUAUAAUGCAAAAGGGUUUUAUCAUAAAAGUGCAUGGCUAGACCACACACACCAUCUUCAAACUUGAAAAAACGAUAACAUUUUCAUCUACUUUCAUACCGUCGAGGAGGGAGGCGACACCGCGUUCUUCGUUCAUUUGCCUUUCGUUUAGCUUUCGAGGAGGAACUUUAAGAUCCUGACAACAUUUUUUUUACUUAUUCAUCCUGUUCCCGGUACGUAAACUUUUUCGUCCCAUGCAUCUACAGUACCUACAUAUCCAUUGUUAUUUAUGUAUUUGUUGUUGUUGAUGCUUAUGUAUUUGUUGUUGUUGAUGCUUAUCUAUUUGUUGUUGACGAUUCUUAUUAAUGAAUUGAUGUGCCGUUACCGAAUGUGUGAUGUGAUUAGGGUGAUUAAUGUGUUAAAUUACUUAACAUGACAUGAUAUUUUAUAAUGCUUAUUAUAUUGAUUGAGGAACUCACCCUUACAACUAUUUGUUGUUGUUGAUGCUUAUCUAUUUGUUGUUGACGAUUCUUAUUAUUGUUGUUGGUGGUGAUGCUUUAUUGAACAUGAUGCUUGUUGUUGUUGUUGUUGCUUAUAUAUUUUUUUAUGCUUGUUGAUCAGUAUCUUGAUAUUGUGGAUUGUUUCUUUGACUUCCAUGAGAUCAAAGAGUUUUCCUUGUUACUGAUUUUCUAGACUAAGAUUAUGUUGCAUUUCUUGGACGAAGCGAAGUCAACAUAUUGUUAGAUGAUUAGAAGGAUGUACCAGAUGAGGUGAAAAAAGCAUAUGGACAAAUGUUCAGGUAUUAAUUUUAAUUUUUAUCGAUUCGAUAUUACGUUAUAUAAACACUAAUACAAAUUUAUUGUUUUAAAUGUGUAUAUGACGUGUGAAUUUAGUGAUGAUUCGAAGUUGAAAAAAAAUGGAUAACUUAUGCUAGUAUAACUUGGAGGAGUUUUAAGUCACGGCUCACGAGUGACUAUUGUUUACUGUCGAAAUUGGUAAAUAAACAAUAGUCUUCCAAAUUUUAAUAUAUUUGGUUACUUACAGGAUCAACUAGAUUGAUCCUAGGACAUGUGUUGUUAUUUAGUUUCUGGGUUUGUUAAUUAUGAACAUUUCGACAAUGUUCUUCAAAGUUAUUAAAGAGAAUGUUACAAUUCUUUAACAAAAUGCAGAAGUAGAGACUUGGAAAGUAAAUGACUUAAAAGUAAAUGACGAAAUCUUAAAUAUUGAAAUUGUCUUCAAAGUAAAUUGUAGCAAAUGUAAAUGACACAAUCUUAAAUGACUUGGUUAAAAGUAUAAAAUAUGGUAUUCACACGUACAUUUUCACUCAGGAACACCCAUUUCUCAUGCACAGGUACUUUGAGUAAAUUUAAAGUUUUUCUUACAAGGUUGAACACCCUUUUCCUAAUGGAUAAGUGUCCUAUUUAUAUUAAAUCGAAAGUAACCUCUAUUCAACGGUCUUUUCUCCAGAAGAUAUCAUGUCUUAGAUUUGCAUGCAUUAUGAUGCUCAAAGCUCUUCACGCGUCUUCAAGAAAUGGAUAAGGCCAAAAUAGUUAUCAUCAUCAAAUUUGAAUUAUACUGCGUCGAAAGCUACUCCAGGUAAGAUUCAUCGAAUUCCAGUCUAGGCCGAAAUAUUUCUAAGUCCUAGACCACAACUUCCUCCGUCGAAAUAUUCUCAUUAAUCUGUUUUCGAAGUCAACAUAUUCUUCUUCAGAAUAUUUCUUUGAAUCCUAUGACCAAAUCCUAACAUUUAUGUAUGUCAAAAUCCCAGCCAACAAAUUUCCCCCAAAAAAUGUUAUUUUCGACUGUAUGGAGAAGAAGAUAUUUUUUGAAACGUUUCGACACUAAAUCGUAUUUACUGCUAUGACGUCAUGAUCAUCAUGACCUUCAAGCUAUGGAUAAGCUUAACGUCAAUAAAAUCAAAGUCGCCACCACGCUUUUAUUGUUUCCAAAGGAAAGGUAAAAGUACGAACAAAACUCAAAGAUGAGAAGUUUUCAAAUCAAAACUAAUAAAAUGUUAGAGAUUACAGGUAAGGGGGUUGGUUACACAGAGGGAAGGUGUUAGCACCCAAAGUAUCCUAGGUACUCCUAGGGAGCCCUUUUUUAUGUGUGCAUAUAUGUUUGGUAUAAAAGAUGUUUGAGAAAAAAAUAGAGUGUGGGGGUGAGAAAAGAAUUCAUUUAUUAUAUUUUUUGUGUUUGACAAGACCUUCGGUCUCGUGCCUACGUACCAACAUAAGAAUGAGGGAUUAAAACCUCGUAGUUCAUGGUAAAAAAUUCAAAUAAGUUGGUGAAUUAUUUUUAACAAAAUUUUAAUAAGAAGAGGCACAAAGGGCCAAAAAUUUGAAUGGAGUUGUUAGUUCUUUUUGUCUUUUGAAAUCUCAAGUCAAUAUGUUUAAGUUUAUUUAUAAAUUUGAUUUAAGAAAGAGUUUGAAAAUUCAAUGGCAUAAGGCCAAAGUUUCAAAAUAUUAAAAGAAAGUCUAAGUUUGAAAUAACAAGCAAAGAAAGGUUUUGAAAAGGGGGAUAUAUUUUGAAAUUUAAGAAGUGGUAGGAGAUGAAGAGGCUAUCCUAAGCACAAAUUUAAAAGUUAAGAGUUAAAAAGAUCUGACCAAUUGGAUGCAAUCCAUCAUACAAGAAUGUCAUAUAGAAACUCAUUUUCCUUUGGAUUUUUACCAAGCAAUAAUCAAUAAGCAAUGAGCAAUAUCCAGACAUCAUGAAGAUCAAGGCAUCAAAUAAAGAUAGCCACAUCCAAGAAAGCAAUUCCAAUAGCUAGCAGUAUUCAUUGUCUUCCCAUGUAUCAGAUGGAAUAUUUCUUGAUCAACUCAAAGCAAAGCAUCAGACACAAGAUCAAAAUGACAAUUAAGCACAAAGACAGAGUAGUAGAUGAAUUCAAACAGAUCCAAGGCUUGUAUCAGAUAAAGGCUCAGUUCACAAUAGCU
Molecule: long non-coding RNA, 6694 nt
Filed under: Lathyrus oleraceus (garden pea)
Lineage: Eukaryota; Viridiplantae; Streptophyta; Magnoliopsida; Fabales; Fabaceae
Description: Pisum sativum (pea) long non-coding RNA (PSAT_LNC021302)
Source: RNAcentral